GGAGAAAGCCGCGAAGACGGGCGCCGGCGCGGACUGGAGCUUCCCCCGGGGGCGGUCGCCGGGGGCGCGCUCAGGACGCGCCGAGAGCGCGCUCAGGGGCCCGGCGCCUCCCGCUCUCGCCGCGGGCCCAGGGAGGCCCCGGGACCGCGCCCGCGCGGCAGCACGACCGCCGGCCCCACGGCCCGCCUCGGGCCCGCCGCGACACGAGCUGCCGCGACUCGGCCGUGACGGCUGCAGCACCGCGCGGGCCCAUGUUACAGGCAACGACAAGGUCGACGAACUGAGCAAAAAGCGGUCACUGACUGCCGAAACCCGGGAUCGAACCAGGGACCUUUAGAUCUUCAGUCUAACGCUCUCCCAACUGAGCUAUUUCGGCUGCCUCUGAAGUGCUCCCAACCUAUGUUACAGGCAACAACACCGCGGAACAGCUGCCACAAAGGUCAGUCUGUGUUUCACGAACACUACCGAGGUCGACGAACUGAGCAAAAAGCAGUCAUCGGCUGCCGAAACCCGGGAUCGAACCAGGGACCUUUAGAUCUUCAGUCUAACGCUCUCCCAACUGAGCUAUUUCGGCUGCCCGUGGAGUCACGCCUUGGAGGAGAUGUGUGAAGACAAAGACCCAUCUCCUUAAAAACCCCCGGCCUCAACCGGACUGCAUGCUCAGCCCUCUGCCUCUCUGCUCAGCCGCCCGCCUGGCCUGGCCAGGUGUAUUCCACUCAACCAUGUAACCUCGCUCUUCCCCCAGUCCGAGCGACUGGGCACUCUCUCUCAGGUUCUGUCUGGAGAGGUGCCCAUCCGUUCUUACGCAUGUCCCUUCCCUAAUAAACCUUGCUAUUUUACUUUCUACUACUCUCUGUCUCACACUUGAAUUCUUUCUUGCGCGAAGAUAAGAACCCUGCCAUUCACUGGUAACAUGCUAAUGUGACCAUAGGCCAUAAGGAAAGACUACUGCUAGGCCUGGCAUAGAUCCUCUCCUGGUCACUGAGAGCACAGGCCCGGUUCUUCACUCCCAGGAAGGCAGAUCCUCCUUAGAUGCUCACUAGAACAGUAUCUGGCAAACAGAACUUAAAUAAUCAUGUUUUUCCAAGAAACUAAAAACAGAAACCAUUAUGAGGGGAACUGGGUAAGGGAUAGGAAAAACAGGGAACUUUGUACACAAAAAUAUUUUAACUGUGAAAGAAAGGGGAGAAUUGUCACAAUCAAAUGUAGUGCUGCGUCAACUCAACAAGAGUAAAGCAAGCCAGGAGAUUAGGAAGAAAGGGGUUUUACGUGAGAUUGCCAGAUAGGAACUAUCACAGAAGGCUGCAAGAAUUGCGACCUCACCUCACCCCUGAGGCCACCACACCCCUAAGAGACAGCGUGUGGCAGCCAAGCCCCAGCUCUGCCCACCAGGAAGCCCUUGAAAAACCAGAGACAGACAAAAGAACUGGUUGGAAUCAGUUAAGUCCAAGAUGGCACCUAAUCUAACCUCAAGGAGACCUAAGCCCUUAUCGCACCCUCAUACUACAUUAGCAUACUACGGGGUGGGGAAAGCAUCGGAAGACGGCCCAUUGGGUCCCGGCCACCCCUAUAGGAGACCUGGAUGGAGUUUCAGGCUCUCAACUUCAGCCUGGCCCAGCCCUGGCCAUUGCAGCCAUUUGGGAAGUCAACUAGUGGAUGGAAUCUCUCUCUCUCUGUAACUCUGCCUCUCCAAUAAAUAAAUAAAUCUUUAAAACAUAAUAAUACAUUAGCAUGGUAAAAAUCACUCCUGUUGUGGUGGAAUGAGAAGGCCAUGCCAAGAUGGCUGCUGGCAACGGAAACUGCCUGGCAACAGGCUGUGAUUGGUUAGGGCAUAGACCACCCCUUGACAGGAUUGGCUGCCUUGGCUAUAUAAGCUGCUGUAGCAACUGAAAUAAACAAGUCUGCUGGCUGCUCGCCUCUGGCCCGCCUUCACCCUGCUCCCGGGGUCUGUGCCUCUUGCACCCACCGAGCUCCUCCUCUCAGAACGAAUCCACCUCAACACCCCUUCAAGAGCAUGAUUUUACAGUUGCCAUGGUAACCUACAGACGUGGAUCCCUAAUUCCUGGAAGUUGUCGCCUCUUUCCCAGGAAUAAGGCAGCAGCUCCUGGGAUCUCUCAGCCUCCACAGCUGUGUGAGCCAAUCCCCACAAUAAAGCAGCUCUUACCCAUCUACACGUGGGCUCCGGUUCUGUUUGUGCGGAGAACCCUCUAAUACAGAACGCUAUCACCACGGGACAGAAAAGCUGCAGGCAGGAAGCAGCAGGGAGAGAAACAGAGUCCAGGAGAGAAGGAAGCUCCUGAGACCAAACACCACGCAGGCGGGACCGGUGAAAGCGAGCUACGCGGAGUCGCCAUCUCAGACGCCACUGUCAGGAUGAAGUAAUUCUCCAAACAAGACUGCUCAUUUUCCGAUGAAAGUAGGCAGAAAAGCCUGUCAGAGACGUUUGGCUCCUGGGGGAGAACUGGCGUCCUUGCACACCGGGCGGAGGGGCGACUCGGAGGACGCCGCAGAUGCAGGUGAGCGCACCUGUGGUCCGCAGCGCUCCCUGGGAGCAGCUCCGAUCCCGCCGGCCUGUGGAUCCCGGUGCGGCUGCACGAAUCGCGGAAGAGGGACCCCCGUCUCAGCCCGCAAGGAACUGAAGAGCGGGUUAGCCAAAGGAGGGGGGCGGUUGAGGAGGGGGCUCCUUUGAGGCCGUACAACCUCCACUGUGAGGUCACCCGCUGGAGGAGAAACGGGUGUGGGCGCGAGAGGUGAAUUCAAUUCCCUUGCCGAGUGUGAAAUCGACCCGGCGUCCUCCUUAAUUCUAGCAAUUCUCAGUGGUCUCGCCGUGGAAAAGAUGACCGGCUUUCCAAGAAGGAGGGAAAAAUGCAUCCGCUGGUAGCGGCCUGAGAGAGGGAAGGGAAGAAAACAUGCUCCAGGUGAGGCUCGAACUCACAACCUCGGCAUCACCCGCACAUAUACUGCUGUAUAAGUACCGCGCGCUAACCGAUUGCGCCACUGGAGCAUGCUUUCCCCGCGCCCGCCGCGCGCAUCCUACGGAGCCGAGUCGCAGCGCGCGCCUCUCCCGGCCGCAAAGCGGAUGCGGCCCGGCGCGCGCGCGGAGCUGCAGGUCCCCGGGAGACGGAACGCAGGGGGCGAGCGGCGAGCCGGGACCCCUCUUCCCUCCGGAAGAACCUAGCGACCAGCCCGCUCCUCGAAGCCCUCUCGAGCUUGCCUGAAGCCCCCCUUCGCCAUCCUCGGGAACGGGUCCUCCCCGCACCCACAGCCUCGCCGUGCAGCCCGCGCGCCCCCCGCGGCACCUGUCUACGCGUGUGCCCGCGCUCCGUAUUCAGAGGCCGGUUCUGCCCGCCUGCCUGCUUGCAGGUUUUGGUCUGGGGAAGCUGCCGCGAUCUGGUUCGUGGACACAGAUUCUGGCCUCUGCGGAACGAAAGGCUCCUGUGUGGGGAAGCAGCCUUUUGCAGAAAGGGCAGCCAGCGGGUUCCUCCGGGCUCCCCUGCAUUGGUGCCUGAGCCCCCGCGCCUCGGGAGACGCCCAGACCUCUGGAAAGCACCCAGCCGCGGUGGCGAGGUGCAGCGUGGCCACCCGAGUGCUGUGCCUCGGAGCGUUUGCGGUCCUCCACAGUGCCUGUGGAAUCUUAGGGAUUCGGCCAUGGUGAUGUUAACAGGUGCGACCUUCAGGGAGGAGGCUCACAGAGCUGCGCCCUUCUGCCCUCACGGGCGCUGAACCUGCUGCCUGGAUCUGGAGCUCUGAACGCGUUUCUGCUCUCCGUCCAUCGCCAGUCUCACAUUUUGUCGUGGUGAAGUGGGGGAGCUGGGAUUUAAUGGGAUCCAAGUGCUGGCCUUCUACUUAAGCAUUCUAAGUACAGACAGUAUGCGGUGCCCAAGAAGCGUGAAGUCUGUUCAAAGGUGCGAUAGCAAACACUCUCACGUGGGCAUGGCUGAGGAGGGGAGUGGACCUGGACCAGGAAGGGAGAAGCCCCGGGGAAGGGAGCUGUUUGGCUGACAGGUGGAUGGACAGGAUGGGGGGGUGGUUCUACCUCCUGGCCCUAAUCUAGCUACCUGCCUUAUCCCACAUCACAGCAGCCCAGUGGAUGCAGCAAGCCGACACAAGGUGUGACACUGCCCUCAACAAGACUGUCCCAGACCAGGUCGGGAGAGGAGCCAGUGGGCGGAACGACUGGAGACGACUCCUAUGUCACUGGGUGUUUGGGUAUUACACUACUCUCAUCAAGGAGGGCUGGCCAGACACGGGAUAGGCCUGGUGCGCCUGAAGUGAUGGCCACGGAGACAGGAGAUGGAAGCCGCGUGGCUAAAAAUGACCGUCUCCUGACCCAGGAGCCUUUUCCUUCCUCUCCUCAGGCCUAUGGGUGGUGACCAGCAGCUGUCAAUAGCCCUAGGGUGCACCGCCGUCCCUCCCUAGUCCCUACCCACACCUUAAAUAACAGCUUCACUAAGUCCUCCUGAAAUCAUGCGGAGUUGAAGGAGCCACCAGUUAACUCCUGAGAUUCGUGUCAUCAGCAGCGAGUGGAAGCUGUGUUGAGGGAAGACAUAAUGUUAUGUCUUGGAUGUGUGAAUGAAGCCCUGAAAAUAAAGGAUUUGUGGCUUUUCAGGAGGUCUCUGUGAGGACAGAGAAGUCCUAUUAUGGAGACCGCAAGGAUCCUCAAGUUCUUGACUUGAAAAGAUGACCCCAAAGGGCCAAGGCUCGAGGCUGUCACUGUUCGGUUCCAGAAAGAAUCAGAUACAGGUCUGCAUUCCAGAAAAGUGCGAAGGCAUCUAACAACCUGAGACAAUUGCUAUUUACCUUUAGGUGUAUUUCCUGUCCAUGAAUCUUAAAACCACGUGAAUAAAGUGAAAACCCUGCACCAGUGUUUUAAACAUGUCAGGCCUGCUCUCAAGUCAUCUUGGAAUCCAAGGUUUCCAAUCACAAUGAACACUUCUCUCCUGCUUGAUAUUUUUAGAAUGUGGUUCUCAACCCUAGAGAAACUUGGACUUUGAGAACUGCUCAUGAGUAUGAGCUUAGCACUCCCCAGGGGUUGAUUUUAUUGCUUUAAGGUAGGAAUCAGUGAUUCCUAAAGCCCUUCUUGGAUUCUCAUCAUCACAGAUACUAUCUCCAAAGCUAUAGAAAUAAAUUUUUAAAAAAGUCUGGACUCCUCAUGAGAAAAGGUUAAAGUCAUAACACAUUUGAAAAGGUCAUGCAAAGGAUGAACAGUUAAAAUCACAAAUCUAAAAGGAAGUUUCCCAGAACUGACACAUCUCCAGGUUCUGUGCCUGUAUGCAUCCUCAGAUACAGCACCCAAUGUUCAGGGGGAAGCUGACAGCAACUGCUAGUACCCGCCAGCCUGGAGGGUGUGGGUUUGGGGAAAGUGGAAAAGUAGCCCGGGAAAGUCGCAGAAUGUCUCAUUCACCCCCAGCACUGAGCGGUGCUUUCCACAGGGUGGAACUGCCGAGCCUCACUAUUUAGACAUUGUCUCUGUGGGGCACAGUUAGUCCUGGAGGAAGAACUACCAGGAUGAACCAUCUUCAACAACCAGCCAAGGCUUGGCAGAACACAAGGAAAGAGGAGAAUAAUGAGAAAACAUGGAUCAGUUGGGGCCCAGUGUUGUGCUCUAGCAGGUCCCAUAUGGGUGCCAAUUAAAGUCCUGGCUGCUCCACUUCCAAUCCAGCUUGCUGCUAAUGUACCUGGGAAAGCAGUGGAAGAUGACCCAAGUGCUUUGGUCCCUGAAACUUUGUGGGAGACUCAGAUGAAGCUCCUGGCUCCUGGCUUCAGUUUGGCCCAGCCCUGGCUAUUGUGGCCAUUUGGGGAGUGACCCAGCUGAUAUAAGACCUCUUUGUCUCUGUCUCUCCCAUUGUCCCUCUUUCUGUGUUACUCCAUCUUUCAAAUAAAGAAAUAAAUCUUUAAAAAGACAGCAUGGAUGAGUUACCAGAAAGAUCCCCACACAGCCCCCUCUCAACACUGAGAACUCUCAACACUGAGAACAGCCCCCUACAGCCCCCUCUCAACACUGAGAAGUCAACAUCCUACAGGAGGCCAUGCACAGGCCAGGGGUCUCCAGAGAAACAGAGGAGCAGGACAAAAACAGAUAGAUAAGAGGAGGUAUGUUCUCAGGACGGUGUAGAGACCUUGGGAGCCAGAAUCUAACAAUCCGCACUCAGCAAAGGGGAGACCCCAGACAGCCAGGGGUGUCGUCCAGGCUGCCUCGAAGUCCCAGGGGGAAUCCCAAGGCCCAAGAAGCAGCAUAGGCUUGAAUGUGCAUGAAGCAUCCUUGCUGAAAUAACCCUUGUCCCCGAGUAGCCCCCCCUGCAUUUUCCUUGCUGCAGUUUACUGCUCCUAAAUGCCCAAACCUCCUUCCUCUGUCUUGCCACUGUCUAUUUAUCCCUCUCUUCCAGAUGUUAUAUCAGUUCUCAGGCCUACUCAGUUUCUUGAGUUCUCACUUCCUGUUUUUGAGAGACACCUAUCUACACAUUAAAAUAGAAAUAUUCACAUCAGAGGUGGCUGUUCUGCCUAGCAGUUAAGACACCCACUGAGAUAUCGCUUUCCAUAUUGGAGGGCCUGGGUUCAAGCCCCAGCUCCGCUCCCAAUUCUAGCUCCUUGCUAAUGCUCACCCAGGGA
This is a long non-coding RNA of Oryctolagus cuniculus (rabbit), 6609 nucleotides long. RefSeq lists it as uncharacterized. Lineage: Eukaryota; Metazoa; Chordata; Mammalia; Lagomorpha; Leporidae. The record is from RefSeq and is a predicted model, not a curated record.